RNAcentral lists this ribosomal RNA (426 nucleotides) under uncultured bacterium. RNAcentral describes it as "bacterial SSU rRNA". It matches the Rfam family "Bacterial small subunit ribosomal RNA", at positions 123 to 541 of the family's 1533-position model. The record is from RNAcentral.
AAUCUGCCUAUUAGUGGGGGACAACAUUCCGAAAGGGAUGCUAAUACCGCAUACGCCCUACGGGGGAAAGCAGGGGAUCACUUGUGACCUUGCGCUAAUAGAUGAGCCUAAGUCGGAUUAGCUAGUUGGUGGGGUAAAGGCCUACCAAGGCGACGAUCUGUAGCGGGUCUGAGAGGAUGAUCCGCCACACUGGGACUGAGACACGGCCCAGACUCCUACGGGAGGCAGCAGUGGGGAAUAUUGGACAAUGGGGGGAACCCUGAUCCAGCCAUGCCGCGUGUGUGAAGAAGGCCUUUUGGUUGUAAAGCACUUUAAGCGAGGAGGAGGCGCUCUAGGAUAAUACCCUAGAUGCGUGGACGUUACUCGCAGAAUAAGCACCGGCUAACUCUGUGCCAGCAGCCGCGGUAAUACAGAGGGUGCGAGCGU